Long non-coding RNA from Coregonus clupeaformis (lake whitefish), 1116 nucleotides. RefSeq lists it as uncharacterized. The transcript has 4 exons. The record is from RefSeq and is a predicted model, not a curated record. Lineage: Eukaryota; Metazoa; Chordata; Actinopteri; Salmoniformes; Salmonidae.
UUUAUCAAUAUAUAGCUGCUAUUGUGGCUAUCAUACAGAACUACAAAUGCCUGUCUCAAGUUUCACGUCACUCACCAGGGCCCUGAUGAUCUGGACGAGACUACCGAAACGAGGCAAAUUUGAACUUGUUGACUGAUGCCAAGGCGGUGGCUGCUAUGAAGGAAGCAGCUGCGGACCAGAAGACUGCAGCAUUGGUCCACACCUGCCCUGUCUGUCAGAUGCAGACCCAAAGACGUUCAAGCAGCACAUUGAAAGCAAGCAUUCGAAGUGGGGUUGUGAUUCACAGACACACGAUGACCACAAUUUGAAUGCUGAAACUGAGACGAAAUGACGUCGAUGGACACAUGCUGAGACCCCGAGUAUGACUGGACAUGGGAUGGAUAUUUGUGACAAUGACCUAAAAGGGGUGCAGAAGCACACCAUCACCCCAUUUUAUGUUUAUUCCAUGGCCAACCAUCCCUCUAGCUAUCCCUUAUUCCACACUAUGCCUUUUAUGCCCCAUGGUCCCUCAACUUCGGACACUUUGGACCUCUCCAUCUUAUCAGUUUAAACCCACCCUUCCUUCACUUGUUUUUCUCCUGUUUGGAUAACAUCUAGAUUGUGUUGUGGUGUACUUUUCUUUCACCUGUGUAAUGCUGUCCUCCUGCUUAUUCCGGGGUUCAGACUGAAUGCAGUUGUAAAUGUGCUGCUCACAAUUGACAUCAGCAACAUGUACCUGUUACAUUGACAAGAAGGGUGUUGAUAUAGCUGCGUUUAGGCAUGGCUUCCUUGUUUUGAGUCUGUUAAGUGUGUUUCUCAUUCUGCUGGAGUUGACCUAGUAUUUUUUAUAUUAAACCUACCUUACACAUUCAGUUGUUUCUCCAUUUGUAACUCACCCACCAAAAAUCACAAUAUGCUGUUUUACAUUAUUUUUGCUGGUCUAAUUCCUAAAAUGGAAAAGCAGAAGAAUCUGUGCUCUCUGAUGGUAAUAAGAGUUCAUAUGGUGCUCUUCGAUGUCCCGGGUUUGUGGCAUUGAUGAAUAAAUCAUUUCAUCUUUACUUCAAGUCAGAUGUUUGUUAUGCAUGAAAGGCAUAUGUUUGCAUUGUUUACUAUUUUGAUAUGUUUAAAACAAUGUGA